AGUCGGAGCGGAUGAAGGGAGCUUGCUCCUGGAUUCAGCGGCGGACGGGUGAGUAAUGCCUAGGAAUCUGCCUGGUAGUGGGGGAUAACGUCCGGAAACGGGCGCUAAUACCGCAUACGUCCUGAGGGAGAAAGUGGGGGAUCUUCGGACCUCACGCUAUCAGAUGAGCCUAGGUCGGAUUAGCUAGUUGGUGGGGUAAAGGCCUACCAAGGCGACGAUCCGUAACUGGUCUGAGAGGAUGAUCAGUCACACUGGAACUGAGACACGGUCCAGACUCCUACGGGAGGCAGCAGUGGGGAAUAUUGGACAAUGGGCGAAAGCCUGAUCCAGCCAUGCCGCGUGUGUGAAGAAGGUCUUCGGAUUGUAAAGCACUUUAAGUUGGGAGGAAGGGCAGUAAGUUAAUACCUUGCUGUUUUGACGUUACCAACAGAAUAAGCACCGGCUAACUUCGUGCCAGCA
RNAcentral lists this ribosomal RNA (459 nucleotides) under Pseudomonas aeruginosa. RNAcentral describes it as "bacterial SSU rRNA". It matches the Rfam family "Bacterial small subunit ribosomal RNA", at positions 60 to 513 of the family's 1533-position model. The record is from RNAcentral. Lineage: Bacteria; Pseudomonadati; Pseudomonadota; Gammaproteobacteria; Pseudomonadales; Pseudomonadaceae.